Molecule: long non-coding RNA, 1546 nt
Organism: Apis dorsata (giant honeybee)
Lineage: Eukaryota; Metazoa; Arthropoda; Insecta; Hymenoptera; Apidae
Exons: 3
Source: RefSeq, a predicted model, not a curated record
AGAGGAGAAGGAGGAACAAAAGAGAAACAAAAGAGGGUUGGUUGCAAUUAUAGAAGAGAAGAGGGAACACGUAUAGUCUGUCUGUCGCUUUUGCCUCGCACAACUAUGAAAACUUGUUUCCUAAACGUACACACAGAUAGUAGAAUACACAUAGAUUAUACGCGAGUCACGGAGACGGCCAUUCAUACGCCACCCCCGCCUCCACCCUCUGUGAUUUCACCGGAUCUCCCAUCGCGCCGAUUGCGGGGGUGGAAAUGGUAGGUGGAUUAUGCUCGUCCGCGGCUGAACUCGCGUGCAAUGCAAUUAUGCUCGCGUUAUCGUGCCACCACUCUACGAUAUCGAGCCAAUUUCACCGUGGUGACCCGUUUCAAACUCGUUCCACGCCGCCAACUCUUCUGUAUUGGAUUGCGGGGGUGGUACGAGGUUUACGCUGCAAUGGCGUCAAAUAUGGUACAUUGGAAAUAUAUAGCGUAUAGAAGAUAGACGAUUCUUGUGUAUUUGUGAAUUCGAUUUGUGUUUGUGAUCGAAGAAUAAUUUUCGCAAAUUCAUAUAAUUGAAAAUGUGUAGAGAAUAUAACUUGUUAAGUGUUAAGUGAAUUGUAGUGAAAAUUUUCAAUAACCUUAAAAAAGUAACUCGUGGAUUUAAAAAUUAUUUUUAUCUUUCUGUUUACAUUUAAAAUAACAUUUCAAAAAGAUUAAUCAAAAAAGUAUUAUAGUUAAGUGGUUCUACACUAUUCUACAAAGUGGUCGAAAAAUGGUCCAUCUUGUAAAAGAUCAUAUACAACGAGUGAAAAUGGGAUUCAUCAUCUAAAUGUAACGGAUUAAUUCAGAAGAUGAUCUUAGGACCAGAUAUUCCGACGAAUUGGAAAGCUUCGAAACCAUCACUACUACAUCUUGUUAUUUCGAGAAAAACGAGCGAUACGUGACGAUCAGAGGAAAAACACAUCGUCAAAUAGAUCGAGCUGAUUGUUUAGAAGCCUCGGUUGGAAGUGACUGAAAUCGGUUGUUGGACAAGAAUGUUGGAAGAGUGUGGUUAUAUUACUUAGUUUACCCAUUUUUGUACGUAUCUGUGAUACGUAUUGUGGAUCAACCAACAAUAUCAAACAUAUACAUUUCGCACAAUUUAAAUCAUAAUACAGUAUAAUACCGUAACUAAGAAAGGUUACUUUGGAAAUAUAUUGAUGUUAACUGUCUUCAAACAAACCUCUAUCAAACAGUCACCAACGACAUCAAACAUGUACAAUCACGCUUUAAAUCUAUAUAAAGAUCUCAACACGGCAUGAUAUUAUAACUAACAGGGAUCACUUUGAGAAAAUAUUGAAGUUAAUCAGCGUCUUCUUUCACUUCAAACAAACUUCAACUUCAAGAGACCAAUCAACUGGAUCUAACAUAUACAUUCCCAUAAUUUACAUUUAUGAAAAUCAUAACACAUCGUCAUACUCUACCUAAUAAUGCCCACUUUAGAAAACACAUGCACAAAAGUUCAUCAAUGUUAUCCUCCAAUUCAAACAGACUUCAACCUCGUUCAAGAGGCCAAUCAACGACAU